RNAcentral lists this long non-coding RNA (223 nucleotides) under Trifolium pratense (red clover). RNAcentral describes it as "long non-coding RNA (TPRA_LNC007950)". Lineage: Eukaryota; Viridiplantae; Streptophyta; Magnoliopsida; Fabales; Fabaceae. The record is from RNAcentral.
AAAAAUAUAACAAAUUAAUUCAUAUGGCUUAGUGGUAAAUCUAAUAAGAAUUGUAAGUAAAAGGUUAAGGGUUCGAUUCCUACUAAGAAAUUUUUUAGCAUUUUUCUACUAACGUUUUUUAAUAAAGACACAAAAUAACCCUGAAUUGAUUAUGUGUCAAAAAAUGAAAAAGGGGCAAAUUAGGAAUUUCAUAGGUACUUUCUUUUCUUAUAUAGUAGAUGAU